This is an RNA transcript of Canis lupus familiaris (dog), 6775 nucleotides long. It is a transcript of the gene named insulin receptor substrate 4, with no coding region annotated. The record is from RefSeq and is a predicted model, not a curated record. The transcript has 3 exons. NCBI's taxonomy places the organism in Eukaryota, Metazoa, Chordata, Mammalia, Carnivora, Canidae.
ACCAUGGCGAGUUGCUCCUGCGCUCGCGACCAAGCGACCAGGAGGCUGAGCGCUGCAGCGGCGGCAACAGCGGCAGCUCUAGCUGUGGUGGCGACCACCCCACUUCUCCCCUUGGGCACCUCGACCGCACUCAUUGGGACCGGGUCGUCUUGUCCGGGAGCCAUGUGGCUCUCCACGGCCACUGGCUCCCGGUCAGACUCGGAGUCCGACGAGGAGGACCUCCCCGUCGGGGACGAAGUCUGCAAACGCGGCUACCUGCGGAAGCAGAAGCAUGGGCACAGGCGCUACUUCGUGCUCAAACUCGAGACCGCCGACGCCCCGGCUCGGCUGGAAUACUACGAAAAUGCCAGGAAGUUCCGGCACAGUGUCCGCGCCGCGGCGGCUGCGGCUGCGGCGGCCGCCUCUGGCGCCGCGGUCCCCGCGCUCAUCCCGCCGCGACGCGUGAUCACCCUGUACCAGUGCUUCUCCGUGAGCCAGCGAGCCGAUGCCAGGUACCGCCACCUCAUCGCCCUCUUCACCCAGGACGAGUACUUCGCCAUGGUGGCCGAGAACGAGUCGGAGCAGGAGAGCUGGUACUUGCUGCUCAGCCGCCUCAUCCUCGAGAGCAAGCGCCGCCGCUGCGGCACGCCCGGCGCGCAGCCGGAUGGAGAGCCGACCGCGCUGGCGGCUGCAGCGGCGGCGGAGCCACCCUUCUACAAAGAUGUGUGGCAGGUAAUAGUCAAGCCCAGGGGGCUGGGGCACCGAAAAGAGCUGAGCGGCGUGUUCCGGCUUUGUCUUACCGACGAGGAGGUGCUGUUCGUGAGGCUGAAUACCGAGGUGGCCAGCGUGGUCGUCCAGCUCCUGAGCAUCCGUCGCUGCGGGCACUCAGAGCAGUACUUCUUCUUGGAGGUCGGUAGGUCCACCGUCAUUGGUCCCGGGGAGCUCUGGAUGCAGGUCGAUGACUGUGUAGUGGCCCAAAACAUGCACGAGUUGUUUUUGGAGAAGAUGAGAGCCCUGUGCGCAGACGAAUACAGAGCCCGCUGCCGCAGCUACAGCAUCAGCAUCGGCGCCCACCUGUUAACCCUGCUGUCCACUAGGAGGCACCUGGACACGCUGCCGCGUGAGCCCGGUGGCUGGCUGAGAAGGUCCCGCUUUGAGCAGUUUUGCCACCUCAGGGCCAUCGGGGACGGGGAAGACGAGAUGCUCCUCGCCAGGCGCUACAUGACACCCAGCGAACCUGUGCUCCCCUCCAGGCGAGGAAGACUGCACCUGCCCAGAGCGCGCCGCUCCAGGAGAGCGAUUUCGGUUCCAGCCAGCCUUUGCCGCCGCCUCCCGCCCAGCCCGGUGCGUGUCCCGCAUCCCGCCGAAGUCCCGAACGACAGAGCUUGCCUGUCUCCUGAAGCUUCUGGCUCUGGCAACUCUGGGGAUGAAGGGAGUCCUCAGGGCCAAGAGGGACAGGAAGGAAACGGAGGUGACUACAUGCCCAUGAACAAUUGGGGCUCGGGAAAUGGCCGGGGCUCCGGAGGUGGCCAGGGCGCAAGUGGCCAAGGCUCCAGUAGCCAGAGUUCAGGGGGAAACCAGUGCUCAGGUGGGGGGCAGGGCUCUGGAGGUGGCCAGGACUCUAGCGGUGGCCAGGGCUCAGGGGGCCAGGGUAUGGGAGGAAACCAACGUUCAGGAGCUGGCCAAGGCACUGCAGGUGGACACGGCUCUGGCGGCGGCCAGGGAGCCGGAGGUGGACACGGCUCAGGCGAUGGGCAGGGACCGGGCGAUGGCCAUGGCUCCCGCCGUGGCAAGAACUCUGGAGGGGGCAAAGGCUCAGGAGGUGGGAAGACUUCCGAUGGCAGUGGUGACCGUGGAAAAUCUCUGAAGAAAAGAUCCUACUUUGGCAAACUAACUCAAAGCAAGCAGCAGCAGAUGCCACCACCUCCACCUCCUCCACCCCCACCCCCACCAGCGGGAGCAACUGGUGGUAAAGGGAAGUCUGGGGGAAGGUUCCGACUUUAUUUUUGUGCCGACAGAGGAGCCCAGAAAGAUCGCAAGGAGGCCAAAGAGGUCAAGGACAAGGCAGACAGCCCAGAAGGUGCAGCUCGGGGCCCCCUCAGAGCCAGGGCUUUUGAUGAAGAUGAGGAUGACCCCUAUGUGCCAAUGAGGCCAGGGGUGGCUGCCCCUCUUGCAAGCUCUAGCGAUUAUAUGCCAAUGGCUCCCCAAAACUUCUCUGCUUCAAAACACCACUCUCGAUCACCUUUCGAAGAUUCAAGGGGGUACAUGAUGAUGUUUCCUAGGAUGAGCCCACCACCAGCCCCAAGUGCCCAGAAAGAGCCAGAUCCCGAGAAGGAGGAUGAGUCAAAGGACAAUGACAGUGAGAGUGACUAUAUGUUUAUGGCUCCUGGAGCCGGUGCAAUUCCAAAAAACCCCAGAAAUCCUCAGGGCGGCUCUUCCUCUAAAAGCUGGAGCUCCUACUUCUCUCUGCCAAAUCCUUUUCAGGGCUCCCCAUUGGGACGGAGUGACCACAGUGAGUAUGUACCAAUGUUACCUGGAAAAUUCUUGGGAAAUAGCCUGGACAAGGCACCCACGUCUAACUGGGGCCCCAAACAUGCAGUUUCAAAGCCUCCAGUGGAGGGGUCAUUCUCAAAGCCUAGGGAUGGGGGGACAUGCUGGAAGCCUUCAGAUAAUGGGCCCCCCAAGAACAAGGCCAAAAGACCCAACCGUCUCUCUUUUAUUACAAAAGGAAAUAAAAUCAAGCCCAAAUCACAGAAGCCCACACGUGCGCAGAGAGAAGCUGACAGCUCUAGUGUCUACGUCAACAUUGACUUCACUAAAAGCGGGAGCAAUAUGCCAGCCCCCUUUAUUCAAGGACUGCCCGGUUCAUGGGGGAUCAUGGCUGGCCCCAGACCGUCAGCCUUUUCUCACUAUGUGAACGUUGAGUUCGAAGUGCUAUUUCCACACCCGGCACAAAACUUCUCGCAUCUUUUCAGAGCUAUUCCAGGUGCCAACCCCCUUUUCCUGGAAGGUGCUAGGUGGCCACUCGUGCCUCUUCCUCCCAGCGCCACAGGUGGCAGUGCCAGUGAGGAAGAGGGUGACUACAUCGAAGUGAUUUUCAACCCAGCAAUGACACCGGCCGUGCCUUUCGGUGACAGCGCCAUCCGCUAUGACGCGGAAACAGGUCGAAUCUAUGUGGUUGACCCCUUUUCCGAGUGCUGUAUGGACAUUUCUCUCUCCCCCAGCCGCUGCUCCGAACCGCCACCUGUAGCCAGGCUGCUGCAGGAAGAACAACAGCUGGAGCGGAGGCGCCCGCAAGACCGUUCGCAGAGUUUCUUUCCGUCCGCCCGGGCGGCGGUCUCGGCUUUCCCCACCGACAGUCUCGAGAGAGACCUCCCCGCCUCCCUUGCCUCGGCCGCCGCAGCCGCCGCCGCCGCCUCCGCCGCCGCGCCGGCCUUAGCUUUGGGCCGGGCGUUAGCCGCCGCCUCCGCCCUCGCCGCGGCCCCGGGCAUCGGUGCAGCCGCCAGGGGCUUGGAGGCCGCUGCUGGGUUUGACUCCGCCUCCGUCCGCUGGUUCCAACCUGUUGCAGGCUCGGCAGCCGCCGCCGCCGCCGCGGUGCGGGGGACCCAAGCCGUGGCCGCUGGCUCGAACCCGAGAGCCCGGCACCCAUCUGCAGACUUGGCUGGAGGUGAGAACUGGGCCACAGCGGCCGUCUCCCCGCCGCCGCCGCCACCGCCGCCUCGCCGCCCGGUGCCGAGUCCCCCUGAGCAACAGGUUUCUGACAACGACGACGACGACGACGACGAUACCUACGUGAGAAUGGACUUUGCCAGACCUGACAACAAGAAGUCUGACUCUCCCCGCAGAGAUUGCCAAAAAUGAACCAGAAUCCUCUACAGUCAUCGGAAGGCAGCUGUUUGGGGGAACAAACUCAGGCUUCUUUAGAAUGACACAAAAAUCUUCAUGUUAGGAUAGAUGAGAGUGACCAGUACAUGGAGAAAACAAUAUUGUGUGUGAUGUAAAAAAGAACGACUGUUGUUAACCUGUCAGCUUGUUGACUAAGGGAAUGUUUAACAGUUGUAUGCUGCCUUGUAAUUUGCAAAACACAUUCACAUGGUGGGGAGGAGGAUAGUAGGUACUGGAAUUGAAGCUGCUGUUGAGAAUUUUCCCAUGGCCAAAGAGAGUGAUUACAUUGCCACAAAAAAACACAUUUUAGAAGAAAAAUGAUGAGUUUCAUCUUUGUCUACUCCAGAUCUGCCGAAAAGAAAGAAAAUUCACAGGCUUCUGAAUAGAAAACAGCCUGAAUUUCUAAAAGCCGACAAAUGGAUGCUGGCAGGUGAAUGAUCCUAACACUGAUCAUUCGUACUGCUGCCUUAUGGAUCAAGUAAUUUUGAACCAAGAAAUUCACACUAUACUUUGUUUUUAUUUUCUGCUUUCCUCUCCCCCAACCCGGCAAGUCUCUUUGAAAGGAAACAAACACUAUAAAAGGAAGCCUCUCAUAACUCUUUCCUUUCCCUUUUUUUAAAAAAAGUUACUUACAUAUGUGUAAAUGUGGCCAACACCAGUUUUACCAACAUAUGAUACUUAGAUUUAGUUUCGAAGCUGAAAACCCUUUAAACAGGAGCAGAAAAAGAAAGAAGUUAUGUUCAUGAGAACAUAGGUAUGAUCUGGAAUCUUUCUUCUGAGUAGUACAUACAUAAAACAUUUCUUGAUCAAGGAGUUAAAUGUUAACUGGACUGAUACCUUGAUGGGACAUAUUCAAUAUCUUAAAAAGACAGGACCAAAGGGCAGAUUGUCUCAGUUUUUGCUCAUUAACAAAACUAUAACAUUCUGUCCGCAUUAAAUGUCAACUGAACUUAUAUCUUGAAUGAACAUUUUCAACUCUUUAAAAAAGGCAGAACCAGGGAACAGAUUAUCUGCUCACACAUAAUACUGCAAUGUUCUGCCUGCAAAUCAAUUGAGCAUUUCCAAAACCAUUUUUUUUUACUUUUGAAACCUACAUUUUUCACCUUAAAGAAGCAAAGUUAUUCCAAGCUUCCUCACAAAGCCUGUCUCUGCCUCUCUGGGCCUCCCCCUCCCCCUCUGCCCCGCCCCGAGUGACCUCCCCUCCCCCCCAUUCUUCCCCUAUCGCUGGCUCUCUGCUGGACCCAUAUUUUCCCUCCUAUGCCCAGGGCUCCUAUAAAGAAAUCAGUUUCCCAUAUUCAAGAAAUUAGUGUAUAUGCAUCAAUCAAUAUUCGGAGUAAAACAAGCCAAAAAGAACCUCUUAUAAGGUCUUGUUUUCCUUUGGAUAAUGAGCCUCUAUAAGAUGUGUCAAAAAUUUUUUUAAAAAAUCAGAGCAAGCUUCCUCCUCCUGUUUUUGCUUGCCUCUGAUGGAAACUGAAUUAAGAUUUUAGGAACCUGGACCUUUGAGAACAUGACAAUAACAGGUGGUGAUCACAGAAGAUAGGUACAAAGGUCUUGAAGCUUGCUUAGAGCUUUGUUACGUGGUGGCACACAACUCACCACUUGUGCCGUCACUGGCAAACCUCACCAUAUCACAGAUGGGUGUGAGUGUCCAUAUAGUUGUGCAAGUGCUAGUGUGUGCGCGUGCACACAUGCGUGUGGAUGCACACCUUCGUGUACCUGUGUACAUGUGAUUGUAGGUGUACCUGUUGUCUGUAACUCUGUUAACAAAAAAAACAAAUCGCUUCGCAUUUAAUGUGCCACUUUGCAGUAGUGUAAUAUUGACCUGAAGUUCUUUGCUACUCGAUUUUGACAUCUUUGAGUGUGUACUCCUAUCUUCAAGCCGGCUUCUAGUACAUGUGGCUACAUUAACUUUUUUGCAGAACCGAGUUGACUUUUGUUGUUUUUCCUUGCCUACCAACCAGAGGGAUGGAGGGGGCUCUUUUUUUCCCUUGAGAAUGGCGCUGAGGAGAGGAUGGAGCUGCAGUCCCCAGUCGAUGAAGGAGUGCCUGGGGACUGCAAGAGCAGUGAGUUUCGUCAGUUCCUUUCAGACUCUUCUCUUUUCCCCACCUAACUGAAUAAUUCAGUGUGGCUUUUGUCCAUUAUGGUAACAGUGCACUCUCUACAUAGGCAGCCUUUCUGCAAGCCUUCUGUCACCAUUUUUAUUUUCAAGUAAGUUUUAAGUCACAAUCGUUCAGAAUUGUGGGAAGAAAAGAUGAUUUGGGGGAAAAUGCUAUAUUGCUUUUAUUUGUAUAUUAGGUUCAGGGGCUGCCAGCAGACAGGGUACAGCACAGAUGUUAACACUUGCUGAAUAAAUAAAUGGGAAACCUCAUACACAACAGUACACACAAGCAGUCACAGGUACAAAUAGUCACAGGUACAGCAUAACAAAUAUGCAGUUUCUUUGACACUACUUCUUAGUUUACAGACACAACUAAUUUAUUCAGUAUUGUGCUGGAAGAAUCCUUUUGGAAUAUGUGUACCAACAUAUCACGUACCUUCCAGCUGCCAGAUUAUGCUGCUGUUCAGGAAAAACAGUGAUGGAACGAUUUGUGUGUGUGUGUGUGAGAGAGAGAGAGAGUGACCUCUACAUUUAAUUUAGUAUCAGACAAAGUCACUUGGUCAGUAAAAACUAAAACUUGACAGUUGCAGUGGCUCAUUACAUUUGCUGUUUCUGCUUUAAGAUCUGCUUUUGAGUUGCUCUGGCUUUGUCUUCCGUUGUAAAUACUCUUAGACUCUCAUUUCCUUGUAAACAUCUCAUUUGCAGUUUUGGGAGACAAACUUGCAACUUUGUAUAGUGUUUAUAUAUAUAUAUAUACAGAUAUAUCUGACUUGCCCUUCCAUAGAGCUACUCGCAAUAAAUGUGUCCAUGAAA